UACGAAGGGGACUAGCGUUGUUCGGAAUUACUGGGCGUAAAGCGCACGUAGGCGGACUUUCAAGUCAGGGGUGAAAUCCCGGGGCUCAACCUCGGAACUGCCUUUGAUACUGUGAGUCUUGAGUUCGAUAGAGGUGGGUGGAAUUCCUAGUGUAGAGGUGAAAUUCGUAGAUAUUAGGAAGAACACCGGUGGCGAAGGCGGCCCACUGGAUCGACACUGACGCUGAGGUGCGAAAGCGUGGGGAGCAAACAGG
Molecule: ribosomal RNA, 253 nt
Filed under: uncultured bacterium
Lineage: Bacteria
Description: partial 16S ribosomal RNA
Rfam family: Bacterial small subunit ribosomal RNA
Source: RNAcentral